UACGUAGGGUGCGAGCGUUGUCCGGAUUUAUUGGGCGUAAAGAGCGUGUAGGCGGUUCGGUAAGUCUGUCGUGAAAUCCUGAGGCUCAACCUUGGACGUGCGAUGGAUACUGCCGGGCUAGAGGAUGGUAGAGGCGAGUGGAAUUCUCGGUGUAGCGGUGAAAUGCGCAGAUAUCGGGAGGAACACCGGUGGCGAAGGCGGCGACCUGGUCCGUGACUGACGCUGAGGCGCGAAAGCGUGGGGAGCAAACAGG
Molecule: ribosomal RNA, 253 nt
Filed under: uncultured bacterium
Lineage: Bacteria
Description: partial 16S ribosomal RNA
Rfam family: Bacterial small subunit ribosomal RNA
Source: RNAcentral